RNAcentral lists this transfer RNA (60 nucleotides) under Dipodomys ordii (Ord's kangaroo rat). It matches the Rfam family "tRNA", at positions 7 to 64 of the family's 71-position model. From Rfam's summary of the family: Transfer RNA (tRNA) molecules are approximately 80 nucleotides in length. The record is from Rfam by way of RNAcentral. Lineage: Eukaryota; Metazoa; Chordata; Mammalia; Rodentia; Heteromyidae.
AUAGCUCAGUGGUAGAGUGCUUGCCUUGCAUGCAUGAGGCCCUGAGUUUUAUUCCUCAGU